UACACGCUGUGACUAGCAUAUCAAUAAGCGGAGGAAAAGAAACUAACAAGGAUUCCCUCAGUAACGGCGAGUGAAGCGGGAAGAGCUCAAAUUUGAAAUCUUGAAAGGUCACCUUUCACGAAUUGUAGUUUAAAGAAGUGUUUUCUGUUACGAUCGUAAUAUAAGUUCUUUGGAAUAGGACAUCACAGAGGGUGAGAAUCCCGUCUAUGAUUGCGAUUUGUAGCUUUGGUGAUACACUUUCAAAGAGUCGGGUUGUUUGGGAAUGCAGCCCAAAACGGGAGGUAAAUUUCUUCUAAGGCUAAAUAUUGGCGAGAGACCGAUAGCGAACAAGUACCGUGAGGGAAAGAUGAAAAGAACUUUGAAAAGAGAGUUAAAUAGUACGUGAAAUUGUCAAAAGGGAAGCGUUUAACACCAGUGUUGUUUUCUGAAAAUCAACCUCUGUUAGCUUUAUGCAUGUUUGUUUAGACCUAAUCAGCUAUCUUGCAUGUUCUAUUGUUUGCAGUGGUGCACUUUUCAGUUUACAGGUCAACAUCAGUUUUUUUUACCGUAAAAAAGUUAAAGAAAGGUAGCUCAUGGCUCCGGUCGUGAGUGUUAUAGUCUUUUUCCUAUGCGGUAGGAGAGACUGAGGUCUGCAGUGUAGGCUAUUUGGCUAGAUACUCAGGUGCUAUGUGAUACCAUUUCAUAAACAACUUGUUGAUUAUGUUUUGUCUAUUGCAUACUCGCUUGUACUAUCAUACCUACGCUUAGGAUGUUGACGCAUGAGAUAUACGC
This 771-nucleotide ribosomal RNA is filed under the name uncultured Neocallimastigales. RNAcentral's name for it is "partial large subunit ribosomal RNA". It matches the Rfam family "Eukaryotic large subunit ribosomal RNA", at positions 22 to 645 of the family's 3401-position model. Lineage: Eukaryota; Fungi; Neocallimastigomycota; Neocallimastigomycetes; Neocallimastigales. The record is from RNAcentral.